Molecule: non-coding RNA, 208 nt
Organism: Oryza barthii
Lineage: Eukaryota; Viridiplantae; Streptophyta; Magnoliopsida; Poales; Poaceae
Source: Rfam
AAAAACUCAAUUCCUGGGUUUUUUUUGUCUAACGUUUGACCGCUCGUUUUAUUUGAAAAAGAUAUGAAACAAUUUAAAAAGAUAAGUCAUGCAUAAACUAUUAUUCAUGUUUUAUCAUCUAACAAUAAUGAAAAUACUAAUCAUAAAAAUAUUUCAUAUAAUACAGACGGUUAAACGUUGAGCACUAAAACCCAGGAAUUGAGUCUUU